UACGGGGGGGGGCAAGCGUUGUUCGGAAUUACUGGGCGUAAAGCGCGUGUAGGCGGUCCGGUAAGUCCGCUGUGAAAGUCGGGGGGCUCAACCCUCGGAUGCCGGUGGAUACUGUCGGGCUUGAGUACGGAAGAGGCGAGUGGAAUUCCUGGUGUAGCGGUGAAAUGCGCAGAGUAUCGGGAGGAACACCAAUGGCGAAGGCAGCUCGCUGGGACGUUACGUGACGCUGAGACGCGAAAGCGUGGGGAG
Molecule: ribosomal RNA, 249 nt
Filed under: uncultured bacterium
Lineage: Bacteria
Description: partial 16S ribosomal RNA
Rfam family: Bacterial small subunit ribosomal RNA
Source: RNAcentral